Molecule: ribosomal RNA, 253 nt
Filed under: uncultured bacterium
Lineage: Bacteria
Description: partial 16S ribosomal RNA
Rfam family: Bacterial small subunit ribosomal RNA
Source: RNAcentral
UACGAGGGGGGCAAGCGUUGUUCGGAAUUAUUGGGCGUAAAGGGCGCGUAGGCGGCGCCACAAGUCACUUGUGAAAACUCUGGGCUCAACUCAGAGCCUGCAAGCGAAACUGUGGUGCUGGAGUAUGGGAGAGGUGCGUGGAAUUCCCGGUGUAGCGGUGCAAUGCGUAGAUAUCGGGAGGAACACGUGUGUCGAAAGCGGCGCACUGGAACAUAACUGACGCUGAGGCGCGAAAGCUAGGGCAGCAAACAGG